AUGGAACGCCGCCUGCGACAGCGAGAUUCCAGUGACCUGGACCUACCCGACGAUGUGCUCGCCGACGUGCUCCGCCAUCUCCCGCCGCGCUGCCUCGCCGUGUCGCGCUGCGUCAGCAAGGCCUGGCGCCGCGCCAUCGACCAGCGCCGCCUCCUGCGCCCGGACCUGCUCCCGCUCUCGCUCGCCGGCAUCUUCAUGAACUUCGGCUGCCACACAUUCUCAGAGUUCUUCUCCCGUCCCUCCUCCUCUUGCAAGAAGAUCAACGCCAAGCUUGACUUCUUGCCUCCCAUCGAGCACGAUCCCUAUGAGGAGGAGGACUAUACCGUCUUCGAGCACUGUAACGGUCUCCUCUUGACCAGCGAGUGCGUGGUCAACCCUGCUACGCGACGCUGGGAUCCUUUGCCUCCGCUCAUGCCCUUCACCGACCCCAUGGGGAUGAGCCGUGUUUUCGGUCGGUAUCUAGCUUUCGAUCCCACCUUGUCGCCUCACUACCAGGUGUUCAGGGUCCCUUAUCUGCCCCCGAGGCCUUGUCAGCCCGGAGACCGAGGCUACCGAGGUCCUGAGGAUUAUGUAGACCCUCUGGUCGACAAAUCUGAAUGGCCGCCGUCUACAUUCAUCUUGAAUGUCUUCUCGUCAAAGUCGUGUCGUUGGGAGGAGAGGUCUUUUGCUAGACAAGGUAAUGCUGCAGGGAUUGUUGCUGAGCUGCGACUGCGACUGCAACAUGGGUGGCACUAUGGUGCCGUCUAUUGGCGACGAGCACUUUACGUGCACAGUCAAAAUAAUUUUUUCUUGAGGAUAUCCUUGACAGACGAUACGUACCGUGUGAUCAAACCACCGACGGCUAUGGAUAUCAGGGUGCACUCUUGUCUAGGAAAAUCCAAAAAAGGGGUGUACAUUGCAUCAUUCAUUAAGGAUGUCUUUCGAGUUUGGGUCCUAAAUGAAUCGUAUGGUCAGACGAAGUGGGUGUUGAAGGGCGAAUAUGAUCUUAAGCGUGUGCAAGCGUUUGAUAAUGAUGUCCAUGGUCCCUGGGUCUUAGAAGACAUCAACUAUGAUUCAUUUCGUUCUCAGCUUCCAAAAGCCAACAAGAAAGCAAGAGUUGAAGAGUUUGAGUGGAGCUCAGAGAAUGAUGAUGAUGAUGACGAUGAUGCUGAUGACAAGAGUGAGAUUAUCGGAGAAAACAACUAUGAAACAUUUCGUUCACAACUUCCGGAAGUCAACAAGAAAGCAAUGGUUCAAGGGAGACUUGAGCGGAUGCGCGAUAACGAGGCUGUUGACGGCAACGAAGAGGAGCGCCACCGUGCAUGUGACGUGCUCGGAUUUCACCCCUACAAAGAGAUUCUCUUCUUGAGCUCCUUCAAGGAAAGAGAAUGGAAGGCUACAGUGCAUGCAUAUCAUUUAAAUAGCUCAAGGGUCGAAUGCUUAGGGAACAUGUGCCCAACACAAUACCAGCAAAUCGAAGAGCAAGAACAGCAGGAACUGGGAAACUGCGUCGGGUGGUUUUCUUCUUCUUCGUCGGGUGCAGAUCUGCGUCGGGUGGUUUUCUUCUUCUUCGUCGGGUGCAGAACUGCGUCGGGUGGUUUUCUUCUUCUUCUGGCAGGGGCACUUCUCUGGCAGGAGGAACUGCCUAAAUGGGGCGGCGGCGAAUGGGGAGGAGGUGAUCCACGGGACGAGGAGGAGGAAGAAGAAACGGAUCUGAUCCUCCAUUGCUCGAUGGCUUGCUUGCUUGGGGUGAUCGAGGAGGAGGAAGAAGAAAGAUGUCUUGUUGCAGAAAGUCACCGUGUUGCAUUGCUUGCGGUCGUGGCCUCGAGCAGAAGCUGGACUCUAGGUUACAUGAUUCAACAAAACAAUGGGAGGGCAAUUUUGAAACAUUUAAGAAACUGGACUCUAGGUUCUUUACUUCUAUUUGUUGUGUAUACGCACGGUCCCUGUUUCCUGCAUAUAUACGACGCAUUGUUCUUCCGUCUAUGCAUCCAGCUGUUCCGCGUACGGACGUACGUACUACCGGCCGGCACAUCCAAACUCCAGAUCGACCGACACAUCUCGGCAUCUCGAUCGAUGGAACGCCAGCGGCUGCAAGCUCGCCAAGACCACGACCUAGCCGACGAUGUGCUGGCCGACGUCCUCCGCUGGCUCCCGCCGCGCUGGCUCGCCGCGUCACGGUGCAUCUGCAAGGCCUGGCGCCACCUCCUCCACGCCGGCCUGCUCCCGCUCUCGCUCGCUGGCAUCUUCAUCCAGUUCGAGGAGCACGCAUUCCCGGAGUUCUUCGCCCGCCCCUCCUCUUCCCCGGUUCACACCAAGCUCGACUUCCUGCCUCCGGUCGUCUCCCCCUCCACCGAGAUAGGUGAUGGUUUCGAUGAAGGCUACUUCGAGCGAGACCACUGUAAUGGCCUCCUCUUGCUCAGCAACUACGUGGUUAACCCUGCCACGCGGCGCUGGGAUCCUCUGCCUCCUCGUCCAGACCUUGACCCCAUGGGGAUCGCUCAUGGUUUCGAUAUGUAUCUAUGUCACGGGAACAGCAAGCCCCGCCAGGAGAAGCCCAGCCCAGCUGGAACGGCCCAGGAGGGAGGCCAGGCCCAACCCAAGGGUGCAGGGCUCGGAGUGGACCAACACAUCCAGCUCCAGCCCGAGAGAUCCAUGGACGCCCUACCGGACGACGCUCUCGGCGAUGUUCUCCGCCGUCUUCCACCACGCUGGCUGGCCAAGUCGCGGUGCGUCUGCAAGGCCUGGCGCCGCACCGUCGACGAGCGCCGCAUCCUGCGCCCGGGCCUGCUCCCGCUCACGCUCGCCGGCAUCUUCAUCCAGUUCGACUCCCAUGCGUUCCCGGAGUUCUUCGCCCGCCCCUCUCCCUCAUCGGCCAAUACCAAGCUCGACUUCCAGCCUAUGAAGUGGAUGAUGAAGGGUGAAUAUGACCUUAAGCGUGUGCGAGCGUCGGAUCAGCGUGUUCAUGGUCCAGGGGUCUUACAAGACAUUAACUAUGAAUUCUUCCGUUCUCAACUUCCAGAAGUCAAGAAGAAAGUAAUGGUCCAAGAAAAAACUGAAUGGGACUCCGACAAUGACGGUGUAGACAACAUCAUAGACAUGGCCGAAGAGCGUAGCCAUGGGUGUGAUGUACUCGGAUUUCACCCGUUCAAAGAGAUUAUGUUCUUGAGCAGCUUCACGAAAGAAACAUGGGAGGCUACGGUACACGCCUACCAUUUGAAUAGCUCGAGGGUUGAAUGCUUUAGGCAACAUGCGCCCAGCAUGUUAUAA
Molecule: ribosomal RNA, 3249 nt
Filed under: Triticum aestivum (bread wheat)
Lineage: Eukaryota; Viridiplantae; Streptophyta; Magnoliopsida; Poales; Poaceae
Description: partial small subunit ribosomal RNA
Source: RNAcentral